RNAcentral lists this ribosomal RNA (253 nucleotides) under uncultured bacterium. RNAcentral describes it as "partial 16S ribosomal RNA". It matches the Rfam family "Bacterial small subunit ribosomal RNA", at positions 524 to 776 of the family's 1533-position model. The record is from RNAcentral.
AACGUAGGGGACAAGCGUUAUCCGGAUUUACUGGGCGUAAAGCGCCCGUAGGCGGCUUAACAAGUUGGGUGUGAAAGCUCCCGGCUUAACUGGGAGAGGUCAUUCAAAACUGUUAGGCUAGAGGAUGGAAGAGGAGAGCGGAAUUCCCGGUGUAGUGGUGGAAUGCGUAGAGAUCGGGAGGAACACCAGUGGCGAAAGCGGCUCUCUGGUUCACACCUGACGCUGAGGGGCGAAAGCGUGGGGAGCGAACGGG